AAAAUUAGAGUGUUCAAAGCAGGCAGAUCCAAUUUUCUGCCACCGAAUACAUUAGCAUGGGAUAAUGGAAUAGGACCCUGUCCUCCUAUUUUCAGUUGGUUUUGGCAGCGCGAGGACUAGGGUAAUGAUUAAUAGGGAUAGUUGGGGGCAUUAAUAUUUAAUUGUCAGAGGUGAAAUUCUUGGAUUUAUGAAAGAUUAACUUCUGCGAAAGCAUCUGCCAAGGAUGUUUUCAUUAAUCAAGAACGAAAGUUAGGGGAUCGAAGACGAUCAGAUACCGUCGUAGUCUUAACCAUAAACGAUGCCGACCAGCGAUUAGGAGACGUUGAAUACAAAACACCACCAUCGGCGCGGUCGUCCUUGGCGUCGGUCCUUCACGGGGCCGGCGCGAGGGCGGCUUAGCCC
RNAcentral lists this ribosomal RNA (402 nucleotides) under Acanthamoeba sp. Its description in RNAcentral is "SSU rRNA". It matches the Rfam family "Eukaryotic small subunit ribosomal RNA", at positions 762 to 1100 of the family's 1831-position model. Lineage: Eukaryota; Discosea; Longamoebia; Acanthamoebidae. The record is from RNAcentral.